This 464-nucleotide ribosomal RNA is filed under the name Vreelandella stevensii. RNAcentral's name for it is "partial 16S ribosomal RNA". It matches the Rfam family "Bacterial small subunit ribosomal RNA", at positions 339 to 795 of the family's 1533-position model. Lineage: Bacteria; Pseudomonadati; Pseudomonadota; Gammaproteobacteria; Oceanospirillales; Halomonadaceae. The record is from RNAcentral.
CUACGAGGAACUGCAGUGGGGAAUAUUGGACAAUGGGCGAAAGCCUGAUCCAGCCAUGCCGCGUGUGUGAAGAAGGCCUUCGGGUUGUAAAGCACUUUCAGUGGGGAAGAAAGCCUUGGGGCUAAUACCCUCGAGGAAGGACAUCACCCACAGAAGAAGCACCGGCUAACUCCGUGCCAGCAGCCGCGGUAAUACGGAGGGUGCGAGCGUUAAUCGGAAUUACUGGGCGUAAAGCGCGCGUAGGCGGUCUGAUAAGCCGGUUGUGAAAGCCCCGGGCUCAACCUGGGAACGGCAUCCGGAACUGUCAGGCUAGAGUGCAGGAGAGGAAGGUAGAAUUCCCGGUGUAGCGGUGAAAUGCGUAGAGAUCGGGAGGAAUACCAGUGGCGAAGGCGGCCUUCUGGACUGACACUGACGCUGAGGUGCGAAAGCGUGGGUAGCAAACAGGAUUAGAUACCCGAGUAGUC